CGCGUAGGCGGUCUCUAAAGUCAGAUGUGAAAGCCCGGGGCUUAACCCCGGAAGUGCAUUUGAAACUUAGGGACUUGAGUAUGGGAGAGGGAAGUGGAAUUCCUGGUGUAGCGGUGAAAUGCGUAGAUAUCAGGAGGAACACCAGUGGCGAAGGCGACUUCCUGGACCAAUACUGACGCUGAGGCGCGAAGGUGUGGGGAGCAAACA
This 207-nucleotide ribosomal RNA is filed under the name uncultured bacterium. RNAcentral's name for it is "partial 16S ribosomal RNA". It matches the Rfam family "Bacterial small subunit ribosomal RNA", at positions 568 to 774 of the family's 1533-position model. The record is from RNAcentral.